Molecule: ribosomal RNA, 406 nt
Filed under: uncultured bacterium
Lineage: Bacteria
Description: bacterial SSU rRNA
Rfam family: Bacterial small subunit ribosomal RNA
Source: RNAcentral
CAAUGGGAGAAAUCCUGAAGCAGCAACGCCGCGUGGAGGAUGAAGGGUCUAUGACUUGUAAACUCCUGUAAAGAAGGAAAAAAUUCCCAUUAGAUGGGAGAUGAUGGUACUUCUGGAGUAAGCCCCGGCUAACUACGUGCCAGCAGCCGCGGUAAUACGUAGGGGGCAAGCGUUGUCCGGAUUUACUGGGUGUAAAGGGUGCUCAGGCGGAUUUGUAAGUCAGAGGUGAAAUCUUACAGCUUAACUGUGAAACUGCCUUUGAAACUGCAAGCAUAGAGUAUGGAAGAGAGUGAUGGAAUAUCUGGUGUAGCAGUGAAAUGCGUAGAUAUCAGAUAGAACACCAAUGGCGAAGGCAGUCACUUGGUCCAUUACUGACGCUAAAGCACGAAAGCGUGGGUAGCAAACA